AAAACUGACAGUCUGUUAGAUAGACUGAGACCAUAUAUCUCUUUCUCUCUCGCAGAAUUUCGCUAAAAUAUGACGUCUCUUGUAUGACGCCACUCUGAUUAUAGGCUCUCUAUUAUGCAUGAGUCUGUGCUGCGACCUGUAUGCCUAUUUUUUAACUUCGUAACGACAAUAUCACCAUUAUCUAGAGAUAUCAUUACUAUCUAGAGAUAUAUCAGAGAGAAAUCUGAGAGAGUCCAUGUCAGAUUUUUCGUGACAUCGUCGAAAUUGCCCAUACAAAUUCUCAGUCCGGAUCUACAUAAGUUGUUUUCAGCCUUAAGAAAUUGACUAAUUACAAUCGAAUGCUAGGAGAAUAAUUGAUUGUGAUUCAUCCGUUCCUUAUGGCUUAAGAUUUAAAAAUCUAUUGUAGAUCCGUGAUCAAACGCAUGGUUAAUCAAUAUGCUGAGGCGUGUUCGUUGGAUUACCUGAGAGUUCUCCGAGUGUUAUGUUAUCCUUGUUUAACAUUUGGUAAAAUCGCUGAAGAGUAUAGUAUUUAGAAUGAAAUAUAUUAUUUUUAUAAGAAAGAAUGCGGAAACUUGAAAGAAGAAUAGAGAGAAGAUUGUUGCGCGAUGCGCAAAAUCCAUUUGAACAACAAGAAUUUAUUGUACAGUUCAGACUAAACCAAGUUUUGAUCAUGCAAAUUGUUAAUAAUUUAAGACAAGAUUUAGAAAAACAACGUAUAACUGGUCUCUAGAAAUUCAAGUUUUGGUUGCAAUUGAUUUUUUUGCUCAUGGUUCUUAUCAAAGACCAGCUGGAAACCAAUGCGAAUUAGUAAGUCAGCCAACUACUAGCCGUUGCAUACGUAAAGUGCAUAAUAAAUACAUAAUUAAUAAAUAUACAUUUAUUAUGCCAAUGGAUAAAAUUUUCCAUGAUGCCACAUGAAAAGACUACUGCAAUAGAACAAAUUUGCACUAGCUGCACAGAUAUUUCCUCGAGCUGUUGGAGCUACUGAUUGUACGUACAUAAAUAUUCUUGCAUCACAUGUUCAUGAAGAAGCAUAUGUUAAUCACCAUCAUUCUUUGAAAGCAAUAGUUGAUUCAGAUAUGAAAAUAUUAAAUAUAAAUGCACGAUACCCAGAUAGAUGCAAGGAAUGAUGCAUAUAUCUGGAGUGCUUCUCCAAUUAAACGUGUCAUGGAACAUUGGUAUAACCAAGGGGAAAAUUUAUUUAAUUGGAGAUGCUGGAUAUCCAUUAGAGCCAUGGUUAAUGACACCGUUGACAAAUUAUCCUCAGUGGAAUCGCUAGUGUCAUUAUAAUCAGAAAUUAUGUAAAACACGGAGUAUCGUUGAAAGAUUAUUUGGAAUUUUAAAGGAAACGUGGAGAUGUUUGUCUUACCAACGUA
Acromyrmex echinatior (Panamanian leafcutter ant) is the source of this 1376-nucleotide long non-coding RNA. The record is from RefSeq and is a predicted model, not a curated record. NCBI's taxonomy places the organism in Eukaryota, Metazoa, Arthropoda, Insecta, Hymenoptera, Formicidae.